Pelobates cultripes (western spadefoot toad) is the source of this 509-nucleotide non-coding RNA. The record is from the annotation of a GenBank genome assembly. NCBI's taxonomy places the organism in Eukaryota, Metazoa, Chordata, Amphibia, Anura, Pelobatidae.
GGGAGGGUUUAGGGGGGGCAUAGGAGCUGUGAUGGGGAGAUAGUGGCUGUGAUGGGAGAAGUAGGGGCUUAGAUUGGAGGGAGAGGCGGGCCUGAGAUGAGGGUUAUGGGUAGGUAGAGGCUGUGGUGAAGUUAUGGGGGAGAUAGAGGCUGAGAUGGGGAGGUAGGGGCUGACAUUGGGUUUGUUAAAUCUGUGUUGAGUAAAACACUUCAUUCUCUUGAUUUACUUGGAGCAUAUAAGUGGCAUACGGAUGGGUAUACUUUUUAGGAAAAAUGUGUUGGUUUCCAUCUGCAAAAGUGUAUGUCUUGGAGGCAAACUAUUGCUGCUGGUAAGGUGAGCAGUUGUUGGAUUGUUAGUCUCCUCUUAUGUGAAGCAUUUACUCUAUUGACAUUUCAUGUCAAAAUACUAAACUGUUGUGCCAUGAAUAUCUGUAGAGAGAAGAGAGGUGCAUAAGGACUUAUGUGAGAUUUUAAUGGUUUAGUCAGGUAGACCAUAAGGAGUGAUAUGAG